GGAGAGUGGAGCAGCUGUGGCACAGUGUGGGACCUCACCCUGCACAGGUAAGGCACAGGCAACACUUCCACAGACAGUCCACCCAAGAGCUGACCUGCUGAAACACGGACUCGAGAGCUCGGUCAGAUGGUGGUCAAAGUGCAAAGAUUUCAAAGCAACAAUAAGAGUGGCUCAGCAGAGGACGGGCUGGUGGCGCUUGGAACAGCCUUGGCUGGGGCACGGCUGGGAGAGUUACCAUGGGAACAGGAGAAGGGAGUUAAACGGCCUUUGGAAUGCACAGACUCCACUUCCUACAGAGUGAAUCCUGCUGCAAAACUGGAAAAUGGUUGGUUUUUUUUUUUCCCCUUAAAAAACAAAAAGUGCAAAAAUAGUUGAAAAUUUUCAGAUGAAAGCACACAGUGCCUUUUCAGGAGUCACUCAAAUGUCCCUUUCCGUGCUGCCAAUUUUACAGCCUUCAGAAGGAGGCAAUUACUGUCUCGCAAACUCACCUUGCAGAGCUUCACAUCCACACAGAAAUGAGAGUAUAAAUAGAAUUCCAUAGU
Long non-coding RNA from Empidonax traillii (willow flycatcher), 542 nucleotides. RefSeq lists it as uncharacterized. The record is from RefSeq and is a predicted model, not a curated record. Lineage: Eukaryota; Metazoa; Chordata; Aves; Passeriformes; Tyrannidae. The transcript is spliced from 3 exons.